UCCAGUGUGGAGUAGUGGUUUGAGUGCUGGAUCACAACUCUGGAGACCAGGGUUCGAUUCCUUGCUCAGCCA
Molecule: transfer RNA, 72 nt
Filed under: Phrynosoma platyrhinos (Desert horned lizard)
Lineage: Eukaryota; Metazoa; Chordata; Lepidosauria; Squamata; Phrynosomatidae
Description: tRNA-OTHER
Source: RNAcentral